RNAcentral lists this microRNA precursor (77 nucleotides) under Culex quinquefasciatus (southern house mosquito). Its description in RNAcentral is "microRNA cqu-mir-8 precursor". Its record names the gene cqu-mir-8. It matches the Rfam family "mir-8/mir-141/mir-200 microRNA precursor family". Rfam says of the family: The bounds of the precursors are predicted based on conservation and base pairing and are not generally known. Lineage: Eukaryota; Metazoa; Arthropoda; Insecta; Diptera; Culicidae. The record is from miRBase by way of RNAcentral.
GUCUGUUCACAUCUUACCGGGCAGCAUUAGAUAUUUUUUAAAUACUUCUAAUACUGUCAGGUAAAGAUGUCGUCCGA